Non-coding RNA from Erythranthe guttata (spotted monkey flower), 444 nucleotides. The record is from RefSeq and is a predicted model, not a curated record. NCBI's taxonomy places the organism in Eukaryota, Viridiplantae, Streptophyta, Magnoliopsida, Lamiales, Phrymaceae.
AGCGGCUAUAUGUCUCCGGAAUACGCGAUAGACGGUGUGUUCUCGGUGAAAUUGGAUGUUUUUAGCUUCGGUGUUCUGGUUCUUGAGAUCGUCAGUGGUAAAAGAAACAGAGGAUUUUCUCAUAGAGACCACAGACUCAACCUUCUCGGAUAUGCAUGGAUGCUAAAUAGAGAAGAAAGAUCACUGGAAUUGGUUGAUUCUUACCUUAUUUCAAUUCGCGUCUCGUCUGAUCCGACACGUUUUCAUUUCAGCUAUAUAUCGUUUUUUUAUGGAUCUGUUUCGACAUUCUGAAGAAUCAAACACAGUUAUUGAUCAUGAUCCAGGCCAAGUGACGUAAAUGUUUGCAAGACAAUGUUUGUUGCUCCGUAUUCGUAAUUUAGACAUGCUAGUUAGUUUUUUUUUAGAACGAUGGUUAAAUAAAGUGAUUCCUGAUCAUUUAGUAAA